This 468-nucleotide ribosomal RNA is filed under the name uncultured bacterium. Its description in RNAcentral is "partial 16S ribosomal RNA". It matches the Rfam family "Bacterial small subunit ribosomal RNA", at positions 28 to 507 of the family's 1533-position model. The record is from RNAcentral.
GACGAACGCUGGCGGCGUGCUUAACACAUGCAAGUCGAACGGAAAGGCCCUGCUUUUGUGGGGUGCUCGAGUGGCGAACGGGUGAGUAACACGUGAGUAACCUGCCCUUGCCUUUGGGAUAACUUCAGGCAACUUGGGCUAAUACCGGAUAGGAGCUCCUGCUGCAUGGUGGGGGUUGGAAAGUUUCGGCGGUUGGGGAUGUACUCGCGGCUGAUCAGCUUGUUGGUGGGGUAGUGGCUUACCAAGGCUUUGACAGGUAGCCGGCCUGAGCGGGUGACCGGCCACAUUGGGACUGAGAUACGGCCCAGACUACUACGGGAGGCAGCAGUGGGGAAUAUUGCACAAUGGGAGGAAGCCUGAUGCAGCAACGCCGCGUGCGGGAUGACGGCAUUCGGGUUGUAAACCGAUUUCGCCUGUGACGAAGCGUGAGUGACGGUAAUGGGUAAAGAAGCACCGGCUAACUACGUG